GACGAACGCUGGCGGCGUGCCUAAUACAUGCAAGUCGAACGCACUCUCGUUUAGAUUGAAGGAGCUUGCUCCUGAUUGAUAAACAUUUGAGUGAGUGGCGGACGGGUGAGUAACACGUGGGUAACCUGCCCUAAAGUGGGGGAUAACAUUUGGAAACAGAUGCUAAUACCGCAUAAAACCUAAACACCGCAUGGUGUAGGGUUGAAAGAUGGUUUCGGCUAUCACUUUAGGAUGGACCCGCGGUGCAUUAGUUAGUUGGUGAGGUAAAGGCUCACCAAGACCGUGAUGCAUAGCCGACCUGAGAGGGUAAUCGGCCACACUGGGUCUGAGACACGGCCCAGACUCCUACGGGAGGCAGCAGUAGGGAAUCUUCCACAAUGGACGAAAGUACUGAUGGAGCAACGCCGCGUGAGUGAAGAAGGUUUCGGAUCGUAAAACUCUGUUGUGUAGAAGAUGUAUCUGAUAGUAACUGAGUCAGGUAGUGACGGUAGUCCAACCAG
RNAcentral lists this ribosomal RNA (500 nucleotides) under uncultured bacterium. RNAcentral describes it as "bacterial SSU rRNA". It matches the Rfam family "Bacterial small subunit ribosomal RNA", at positions 28 to 487 of the family's 1533-position model. The record is from RNAcentral.